CUGAACCAGCCAAGUAGCGUGAAGGAUGACUGCCCUAUGGGUUGUAAACUUCUUUUAUACGGGAAUAAAGUGAGGCACGCGUGCCUUUUUGUAUGUACCGUAUGAAUAAGGAUCGGCUAACUCCGUGCCAGCAGCCGCGGUAAUACGGAGGAUCCGAGCGUUAUCCGGAUUUAUUGGGUUUAAAGGGAGCGUAGAUGGAUGUUUAAGUCAGUUGUGAAAGUUUGCGG
RNAcentral lists this ribosomal RNA (227 nucleotides) under uncultured bacterium. Its description in RNAcentral is "partial 16S ribosomal RNA". It matches the Rfam family "Bacterial small subunit ribosomal RNA", at positions 383 to 607 of the family's 1533-position model. The record is from RNAcentral.